Molecule: ribosomal RNA, 577 nt
Filed under: Psychrobacter sp. OL21
Lineage: Bacteria; Pseudomonadati; Pseudomonadota; Gammaproteobacteria; Moraxellales; Moraxellaceae
Description: bacterial SSU rRNA
Rfam family: Bacterial small subunit ribosomal RNA
Source: RNAcentral
GAGAGGAUGAUCAGCCACACCGGGACUGAGACACGGCCCGGACUCCUACGGGAGGCAGCAGUGGGGAAUAUUGGACAAUGGGGGAAACCCUGAUCCAGCCAUGCCGCGUGUGUGAAGAAGGCCUUUUGGUUGUAAAGCACUUUAAGCAGUGAAGAAGACUCCGUGGUUAAUACCCACGGACGAUGACAUUAGCUGCAGAAUAAGCACCGGCUAACUCUGUGCCAGCAGCCGCGGUAAUACAGAGGGUGCAAGCGUUAAUCGGAAUUACUGGGCGUAAAGGGAGCGUAGGUGGCUCUAUAAGUCAGAUGUGAAAUCCCCGGGCUUAACCUGGGAACUGCAUCUGAAACUGUAGAGCUAGAGUAUGUGAGAGGGAGGUAGAAUUUCAGGUGUAGCGGUGAAAUGCGUAGAGAUCUGAAGGAAUACCGAUGGCGAAGGCAGCCUCCUGGCAUAAUACUGACACUGAGGCUCGAAAGCGUGGGUAGCAAACAGGAUUAGAUACCCUGGUAGUCCACGCCGUAAACGAUGUCUACUAGUCGUUGGGUCCCUUGAGGACUUAGUGACGCAGCUAACGCAAUAA